UAGCGUUGUUCGGAAUCACUGGGCGUAAAGCGCUCGUAGGUGGCUUUGUAAGUCAGGUGUGAAAGCCCACGGCUCAACCGUGGAAUUGCACUUGAUACUGCAUUGCUUGAGUUCGGGAGAGGGUAGUGGAAUUCCAGGUGUAGGAGUAGAAAUCCGUAGAGAUCUGGAGGAACACCAGUGGCGAAGGCGACUACCUGGACCGAUACUGACACUGAGGAGACGAAAGCGUGGGGAGC
RNAcentral lists this ribosomal RNA (236 nucleotides) under uncultured bacterium. Its description in RNAcentral is "partial 16S ribosomal RNA". It matches the Rfam family "Bacterial small subunit ribosomal RNA", at positions 536 to 769 of the family's 1533-position model. The record is from RNAcentral.